GAUGAACGCUGGCGGCGUGCCUAAUACAUGCAAGCCGAGCGAACAGAUGAGGAGCUUGCUCCUCUGACGUUAGCGGCGGACGGGUGAGUAACACGUGGAUAACCUACCUAUAAGACUGGGAUAACUUCGGGAAACCGGAGCUAAUACCGGAUAAUAUAUUGAACCGCAUGGUUCAAUAGUGAAAGACGGUUUUGCUGUCACUUAUAGAUGGAUCCGCGCCGCAUUAGCUAGUUGGUAAGGUAACGGCUUACCAAGGCAACGAUGCGUAGCCGACCUGAGAGGGUGAUUGGCCACACUGGAACUGAGACACGGUCCAGACUCCUACGGGAGGCAGCAGUAGGGAAUCUUCCGCAAUGGGCGAAAGCCUGACGGAGCAACGCCGCGUGAGUGAUGAAGGUCUUCGGAUCGUAAAACUCUGUUAUUAGGGAAGAACAAAUGUGUAAGUAACUAUGCACGUCUUGACGGUACCUAAUCAGAAAGCCACGGCUAACUACGUG
RNAcentral lists this ribosomal RNA (497 nucleotides) under uncultured bacterium. RNAcentral describes it as "partial 16S ribosomal RNA". It matches the Rfam family "Bacterial small subunit ribosomal RNA", at positions 28 to 507 of the family's 1533-position model. The record is from RNAcentral.